AACGAACGCUGGCGGCAUGCCUAACACAUGCAAGUCGAACGAAGUCUUCGGACUUAGUGGCGCACGGGUGCGUAACGCGUGGGAAUCUGCCCUUGGGUACGGAAUAACUCAGAGAAAUUUGUGCUAAUACCGUAUAAUGUCUUCGGACCAAAGAUUUAUCGCCCAAGGAUGGGCCCGCGUAAGAUUAGCUAGUUGGUGGGGUAAAAGCCUACCAAGGCGACGAUCUUUAGCUGGUCUGAGAGGAUGAUCAGCCACACUGGGACUGAGACACGGCCCAGACUCCUACGGGAGGCAGCAGUGGGGAAUAUUGGACAAUGGGCGAAAGCCUGAUCCAGCAAUGCCGCGUGAGUGAUGAAGGCCCUAGGGUUGUAAAGCUCUUUUACCAGGGAUGAUAAUGACAGUACCUGGAGAAUAAGCGCCGGCUAACUCCGUG
This 433-nucleotide ribosomal RNA is filed under the name uncultured bacterium. RNAcentral's name for it is "partial 16S ribosomal RNA". It matches the Rfam family "Bacterial small subunit ribosomal RNA", at positions 29 to 507 of the family's 1533-position model. The record is from RNAcentral.